UUAAUAAUAGUAAGCAAUUCAUUUUU
Molecule: small RNA, 26 nt
Filed under: Plasmodium falciparum 3D7
Lineage: Eukaryota; Apicomplexa; Aconoidasida; Haemosporida; Plasmodiidae
Description: Pfa-npcR5719
Source: RNAcentral